AAAAACCAAACUUUCCGUAAUUGUUCUAGAUUUUAAAGUUCUUUCUAAUGCUUGUAUAGACAAAUAUCUGGACGCUCAGCAGUAACCUCUGACAAAAUAAACUUAAUUUUAAUUUUUUUUUUCGAAACAUACAUAAAUAUGUAUACAUGUAUAUGCAUAAAAUUUUAUUUUCUCACAGGUCCCUGUAUAGGCGGAGUGCUAGGCCUGAAAGUGCCCAGAUAUUGUUUGUUUGGACAAACAGUAAACACAGCAAUAACACUUAAAUCUAAAGGAAGAGGAGGAAAAAUCCAUUUAAGCGACAGUACGUACCAAUUUAUUAAAGAUUCCGGAUAUUUUACUGUUUUUGAAAGAGGGUUCGCAACAACCAAGGGAAAUGGAACUAUCAAGACUUACUGGCUGGAAUCAGCAUCAGAGAUGUGAAGGGCUGUACAUAUUAUGAAUACUGGAUCAAUUGUUAUCCUUCCUUUCUUCUUUUUUAAUUUUCAUAUAUA
Saccostrea cuccullata (small rock oyster) is the source of this 491-nucleotide long non-coding RNA. RefSeq lists it as uncharacterized. The transcript is spliced from 3 exons. Lineage: Eukaryota; Metazoa; Mollusca; Bivalvia; Ostreida; Ostreidae. The record is from RefSeq and is a predicted model, not a curated record.